Molecule: long non-coding RNA, 517 nt
Filed under: Danio rerio (zebrafish)
Lineage: Eukaryota; Metazoa; Chordata; Actinopteri; Cypriniformes; Danionidae
Description: si:ch211-1k7.1 (ENSDARG00000096247.3)
Source: RNAcentral
CCUGAUGGCUGACUUGUUGCUCCGCCUCACGCUGACCUGUGCUCGCCUUAUGGCUGAACUGUUGCUCCGAGUCCGCCUGACGAGCCACCUGUUUCUCCGGAUCUGUUUCUCCGCCUAACGGCGACCUGUUUCUCCGGACCUGUUUCUCCGGACCUGAUUCUCCGCCUAACGGCGACCUGUUUCUCCGGACCUGUUUCUCCGCCUAACGCCCGAGCUGUUGCUCCACCUAACGCCUGACCUGUGCUCGCCUCACGCCCGACCUGUUGCUCCGCCUCACGGGCAGCCUGUUGAUCGGUGGACGGGUAAGCGCGCAUGGCAUCGGAAGGAGCUCGAAAAGUAUAAGGUGAUGACAGUAAGUAACGUUACUGUGAUUUGUGAUCUUUCUGGGGUGUAAGUAAGUAAUGGAUAAUUGCGUGAAAAUCAAACUAAAAGAAUGCAAUCUUGAGGAGUUAAUCCCCACAUUUGAAGGAGCGAACCUUUUCUCGUUUUUAGGUCAAUUUGAAUACAAUUCAGAGGG